Molecule: non-coding RNA, 257 nt
Organism: Allochromatium vinosum DSM 180
Lineage: Bacteria; Pseudomonadati; Pseudomonadota; Gammaproteobacteria; Chromatiales; Chromatiaceae
Rfam family: HNH endonuclease-associated RNA and ORF (HEARO) RNA
Source: Rfam
GUCAACGACCCCCGCCUGAAGGCGGGAGCUUGUGAAAGCAAGCUCCGACGUUGACCAGACCACGCCCCGAGAGGGGCAGCGUUACCGUGGAAUCCGACGCGAGUCGGUGUAAUAGGCACUCCGGGAUGCUUCCUCAGUCCCGGACACUGCGGCAGGCGGUUAAACAGGUCUACGGGGUACGAAGCCAGUGCCGCCUCCAGGGAUGGACCCGAAAGGGUGCGAAAACCCACGGAUAACAUGGUCGAGGGGAGCGGGCC